RNAcentral lists this ribosomal RNA (442 nucleotides) under uncultured bacterium. Its description in RNAcentral is "partial 16S ribosomal RNA". It matches the Rfam family "Bacterial small subunit ribosomal RNA", at positions 338 to 795 of the family's 1533-position model. The record is from RNAcentral.
CCUACGGGUGGCAGCAGUGGGGAAUAUUGGGCAAUGGACGCAAGUCUGACCCAGCAACGCCGCGUGUAGGAAGAAGGCUUUCGGGUUGUAAACUUCUUUUAAGGGGGAAGAGCAGAAGACGGUACCCCUUGAAUAAGCCACGGCUAACUACGAGCCAGCAGCCGCGGUAAUACGUAGGUGGCAAGCGUUGUCCGGAUUUACUGGGGGUAAAGGGCACGCAGCCGGGAUGACAAGGCAGAUGUGAAAUCCCGCGGCUCAACCGCGGAACUGCAUUUGACACUGGUUUUCUUGAGUAUCGGAGAGGGAUGCGGAAUUCCUGGUGUAGCGGUGAAAUGCGUAGAUAUCAGGAAGAACACCAGUGGCGAAGGCGGAUUACUGGACGACGACUGACGGUGAGGCGCGAAAGCGUGGGGAGCAAACAGGAUUAGAUACCCGUGUAGUC